UAACCUCCUGACCCAGUUGCUUGACUGAAUGAUGUCCUAUACCUUGUUGGUAUAUGUGUCUUCUCUCCUUUUCUCCACAUAGUCCAUAUAAAUAUCUGGAGAUGCACCACUGAUGCUUUUGCUUCCAAAAUGAUUUACCAGGUCUUUCCACCUUGGCAAGCAAGGAAUGAGUACUUCCUCUUUAAGAGGUGAAGUACUUCCUCUUUAAGAAAGCAGCGCUAGCCAAUCAAUAGAACAAACUCUACGUGCUGGAGUAACUCGGUGAGCCAGGCAGCAUCCCUGUUUUGAAUGGAUAGGCGAUGUUUCGCAUUGGAAUUCUUCUUCUGACGAAGGUGUCUUUCCGAAAUGUCGCCUAUCGAUUCCCUCUAAAAACGCUGCCUGACCCGCUGAGUUAUUCCAAGUUAUUGUGUUUUACUCAAGAUUCUGACAUCUGCAGGUAUUUGUGUCUCCAACAUAACAACCUCUGGUGGAUAAGAGCAGCUGAUGGCAUGGCACGUAUUGGCUUGCUAUUAGCACUACUUUACAAUGAAAGGUCAUAGCAUUUGCAAUGGUUAAAACAGAUACAGGUUAUUUGGGCAUCACAAUCUCAGUACUAAUCAUCACACAUGUUUGUUCUACUUGCCCCCUUUUGCAGCAGUUGACGCAGCCCAUAACUUGUUCCAAAUACAGAAUGGAUUUAUGUCGUAUUUGUACUGAGAAAGAAAUGGUACAUUCCAGACCCAGUUUGGGAAUCAACAUAUCGGGAAGCAGCUGAUUCAUUUUUUUGGCAAUCUUCCCAAGUCAGUAUCUGAAUCCAUGUGUAAAAAGGAACUGCAGUUGCUGGUUUAAACCGAAGACAGACACAAAAAGCUGGAGUAACUCAGCGGGACAGGCAGCAUCUCUGGAGAGAAGGAAUGGAAGACGUUUCGGAUCGCGAUCCUUCUUCAGACUGAAGAAGGGUCUCAAUGUGUUUAAUGGUUUGAAAGAAUUAGACUCUACCAAGCAAAAAAAUGUACACUGUAUCUACAUUUCUUUUGCAGGUUACGCUAUUGGUCAGAAUAAACAGAUCUUAGUUUUAA
Long non-coding RNA from Leucoraja erinaceus (little skate), 1058 nucleotides. RefSeq lists it as uncharacterized. The record is from RefSeq and is a predicted model, not a curated record. NCBI's taxonomy places the organism in Eukaryota, Metazoa, Chordata, Chondrichthyes, Rajiformes, Rajidae. The transcript has 2 exons.